GUUUGCGGGCAAGAUGUACUGGAAGACGCUGCCUUGGGCCCACACUCCGCAAAGUUUGACCCCGUUAAUGCACAGACUGUCCCAACUGCAGGCCCCAACUUCUAAUUCAAUAUCAAUGUUGCUAAAAUUAAUUUAAAAAGAGCAAAUCAAUUUUGAGGAUCGGAGGGAUGGUAGGGAGAAGUUUUCCGUGCUUCCUUUUUCAAAAACUGUGUAGAAACAAAAAUUCAUGUCUGACUUGAGUCUCCACAAGGAAAGGCCGAGUUCUUAGCCAGUGAGAUAUCAAGGUGUCACAUACAAAGACCGCAUUACAAAUGAAGAGAUUAGAAACAGGAUUAAUACAGCAAUUACAAAAGGACCUGCUAACCACUGUCAAAGAACGUAAAAUCAAACCUUAUGAAGACACACAUGGUCUUCAGGGCUCGCAAAGUUCAUCCUUCAGGGAACAGUACCAGGAAGAAGAUGAAAAGGAAGACAGAGAAAGCGAUGGGAAGACAACAUCAAAUAAUGGGCUGGCCUUUCAGUGAAUGAAAUUCUAUCAAAGGCAAAGGACAGAGUAAAAUGGAGAAAGACGGUUGACAAAUCUUAUGUGGUGCCCCAACGGUCCAACAGACUUAGGGAUAGGUGAAGGUGAAGUUAAAUGUGAACCUAGACUAACUGAUGUUAUUGAAUAAAAUAAGAUACGAUAAUUUUA
This is a long non-coding RNA of Biomphalaria glabrata, 691 nucleotides long. RefSeq lists it as uncharacterized. NCBI's taxonomy places the organism in Eukaryota, Metazoa, Mollusca, Gastropoda, Planorbidae. The record is from RefSeq and is a predicted model, not a curated record. The transcript has 3 exons.